GAGGAAUUUCCAUUUUGUAAAGCAGGAAAACGAGGAUCUCUGCUAUUUCCUUUACCACUUAAAAAAGUUAUUGGAGGAACAAGGUUCGGGAGGUGCAGUUUAACGUAUGCUGCAUCAAGUAUUGUAACUGUCUGGUGGAUCUGCCCGGGGGGGCGGGUGGGGGUUGUGGAGGUGUUUAGAAAGACAGUUGUCUUAGAAUUUUUUUUCACAGUAGUACAUUCAUUAGAAAGAUCAGUAAAUGGAAAUGUAUGGGUUUUUUUCUUCCUCCACCUAAUUUUAGAAGGAUGGCGUUUUAUUUUGUUUGCCUAACUCUUUUUCUGUUGAUUUGUAAACUACAUCUGACUCAACUUCAAGACAUUUUACAAAAGUUUGUAUACCGUGUUCAUAAUUGAGUUUUUUCUAUCU
Carica papaya (papaya) is the source of this 405-nucleotide non-coding RNA. The record is from RefSeq and is a predicted model, not a curated record. NCBI's taxonomy places the organism in Eukaryota, Viridiplantae, Streptophyta, Magnoliopsida, Brassicales, Caricaceae.